GAUGAACGCUGGCGGCGUGCCUAAUACAUGCAAGUCGAGCGAACAGACGAGGAGCUUGCUCCUCUGACGUUAGCGGCGGACGGGUGAGUAACACGUGGAUAACCUACCUAUAAGACUGGGAUAACUUCGGGAAACCGGAGCUAAUACCGGAUAAUAUAUUGAACCGCAUGGUUCAAUAGUGAAAGACGGUUUUGCUGUCACUUAUAGAUGGAUCCGCGCCGCAUUAGCUAGUUGGUAAGGUAACGGCUUACCAAGGCAACGAUGCGUAGCCGACCUGAGAGGGUGAUCGGCCACACUGUAGCUGAGACACGGUCCAGACUCCGACGGGAGGCAGCAGUAGGGAAUCUUCCGGAAUGGUCGAAAGCUUGACGGAGCAACGCCGCGUGAGUGAUGAAGGUCUUCGGAUCGUAAAACUCUGUUAUGAGGGAAGAACAAAUGUGUAAGUAACUAUGCACGUCUUGACGGUACCUAAUCAGAAAGCCACGGCUAACUACGUG
RNAcentral lists this ribosomal RNA (497 nucleotides) under uncultured bacterium. Its description in RNAcentral is "partial 16S ribosomal RNA". It matches the Rfam family "Bacterial small subunit ribosomal RNA", at positions 28 to 507 of the family's 1533-position model. The record is from RNAcentral.